This 478-nucleotide ribosomal RNA is filed under the name uncultured bacterium. Its description in RNAcentral is "bacterial SSU rRNA". It matches the Rfam family "Bacterial small subunit ribosomal RNA", at positions 29 to 487 of the family's 1533-position model. The record is from RNAcentral.
AACUAACGCUGGCGGCGUGCCUAACACAUGCAAGUCGUACGAGAAAGCCGGCUUCGGCUGGUGAGUAAAGUGGCGCACGGGUGAGUAACGCGUGGAUAAUCUGCCCUUAAGUGUGGAAUAACGUACCGAAAGGUGCGCUAAUACCGCAUAAUGCCUGGCAACACAAGUUGUCCGGCCAAAGAAGGCCUCUGUUUACAAGCUUUCGCUUCAGGAUGAGUCCGCGUACCAUUAGCUUGUUGGUGGGGUAAUGGCCUACCAAGGCUGCGAUGGUUAGCUGGUCUGAGAGGAUGAUCAGCCAACUGGAACUGAGACACGGUCCAGACUCCUACGGGAGCAGCAGUGAGAUAUUGCGCAAUGGGGCAACCCUGACGCAGCAACGCCGCGUGAGUGAGGAAGGUUUUCGGACUGUAAAGCUCUGUCGAGCGGGAAGAAGUGUACCAUGGCUAAUAUCCAUGAUAUUUGACGGUACCGCUAGAGG